AAUAAUUCGGGAACUAUGAAGGUAAACAUUAAAGCCCAAACUAAAUAAUUAUUCGGCCCAGCAUGCUGCUAGCCCAAUUGUGACCAACAUUGUUAAACCAAGAAUCAAUCUUGCUUCAACAAAAUUUAUUAAUUAAUCACAAAAGUAAUAUGAUUUGCAAUGCCUAAACCUUUGGAAAAAGAAAAAAAAAACUUGAAGAAAUAAAUCAUUAAAAUCCCCAAUUUUUUAGGGUAAACGUUCCUCAUCACGAAUUGUUGAAACAGAAAGCGGCGAUGCCAACAUUUGCAAUAAAAAGAGAGAAACUGCUAUAAAUCAACAGACUAAAGCAAUCACCAUUCUAUUCCCCUUUCACAGCGUAUGUAUGAAUAGAUGGGUAAUUGAAGGAGUGCUUAGCUCGAAUUAGUCUGCGGUGGAUCGGAGGAAUUGAGAUCUUGAUCGGAGUGCAGUAUUAUUCCAUCGGAGGGAACGAGGCGAGGAAUCCCAUCAACGAUCGGAUUCGGGUGGGAUCGAAGAUCGACCGACCUUAUUAGUAGUAUGUGAAGGUCGUGAAGCUCUAUCAAAUUUGGUUUUCUGAGUUGUCGUCAUGUGUCAUCUCCGCCCCAAUCAAAGGGCAUCAUAUUGAUCGAGAGACCCUAACCAAUUCAAUUCAAUCCAAUCAUGUCAACCAAGCAAGGAGGAAAAGCCAAGCCUUUGAAGCAACCUAAGGCUGAAAAGAAAGAGUACGACGAGACUGACAAGGCUAAUAUUCAAAAGAAGAAAGAAGAAGAGAAGGCUCUUAAGGAACUUAAGGCAAAGGCCCAGCAAAAGGGGGCAUUUGGCGGUUCUGGUCUGAAGAAAAGUGGCAAGAAAUGAGUCCCAGAAGAAUAGCUAGCUCAUUGCUUGUCCUGUUUGUCAUUUUCUUUGUAAUGUAAUUUAAACAUUUUAGGUUGUUCCACUAAGGGUGUGUGGGUGUAAGAUUGUAUGUUCAACAAUUGAAUCUAUGAAAUGGCUUAUGUCUAA
Salvia splendens (bonfire salvia) is the source of this 999-nucleotide long non-coding RNA. RefSeq lists it as uncharacterized. The transcript has 6 exons. The record is from RefSeq and is a predicted model, not a curated record. NCBI's taxonomy places the organism in Eukaryota, Viridiplantae, Streptophyta, Magnoliopsida, Lamiales, Lamiaceae.